Trifolium pratense (red clover) is the source of this 1111-nucleotide long non-coding RNA. RefSeq lists it as uncharacterized. The record is from RefSeq and is a predicted model, not a curated record. NCBI's taxonomy places the organism in Eukaryota, Viridiplantae, Streptophyta, Magnoliopsida, Fabales, Fabaceae. The transcript has 6 exons.
CUUCUCUCAGCACAAGAUCUCUCUCACCGAAAAUCUCCUCUCUCAGCCCCGGAUCUCGACAUCCUCAUCGACCACGUCGAGUCUCAAUCUCUCCAGAUCCGAUCACAGAGGUACGAUCCUACCUCGCCUCUCACGACGACGACUUCACAAACCUCUUUUCCCUCUGCAAUGACGCCCAAAUUCCUUGUUCGCGAGCCAGGAUUCUCGGAUUCCCCUGAGAUUAUGAUUCCUCCUCUUUUACUGAGCUUUGAGUCUUUGAAUCGUCGAACCCUAAUCCCUAAUCUGGCAUUCAGCUUCCAAUCGCCGCAGCAAAAUGAGACCACCACAAACCCUAAUUUGGCGCUUCAGCCUCCAACUUAGGCUCGAUCAUCUAUACGAUCAAAGAAAUGCUACUAAAAGGAUGAUGAAUGCUUUAGCAAAAGGAAUUUCUUUACAACCAUAUAUGGUAGCUGAAGGCAUUGCUGUGAUACAGAGGCUGUAACAGCUUAAUAGAGAAAAGUUCAAAAGGUUGAUGGCAAAUUGGACAAGCCAAUUGCUACAAAAAAAAUUGGGCAACAAAAAACUAUGGAAGUUAACUAUGGAAGUUUUUGCACAUGGAGAUAAAGAAGUUGCACAAGGAAUGAUGAAGAAAUUAACUCAUGAAUCUACCAGAGAAUAAUAGAGAGAAAAUUCAAAAGGUGGAAAUAGCAAUUGCAAUGAAAGUUCGUAUUCAUCAACACAUGCUCCAUGUCUUGGAAAGGACAAUUAAUUUAUAAAAAAUUGAAAGAGAAGACAAAAAAAUAUGUGGCUAAACGGCUGAUUGGAACAAAGAAAAGCAACCAGAAAAUUUGUGAUGCAGUUGUUGUCUUUGUUGGUGAAGUAGCACAUAUUGAUGUAACAUGGAUUUGAUCUAAUCCAAAGCUAAGAUCCAUGAUCUAUACUUAACUUCAAAUUCUCAUCUUAGUAAAUAGAGUUAAAGGAUUGAUCAAUUUAGCUACUGUUCUAGUUGAUAAUAGAAAUGAUUGAUCAAGUAAAGAUUGCCAUUUUAUAUUUAUUUUGUUGUUAAUAGUUAUAUUGUAACCAAUACUUGGUGUGAAUAUAUUACUUGAAUAUAUGAUAUGAAUUUUUUUUA